UGACACUUAUUAAGGUUUUUCAUAUUAAAGAUUGUAUAAAUAAGUCUGUGGUGAAUGCAGCAGUAUCAUUCACAUAAGAAUGGGAAAAAAUAAGGCAAGUCUAUAGAAGGACAAAAUGUAUAGGAUAUACAGCUACCUAGAUAUAUUUUUUUCCCCCUUGACUGAUAUUCUUCUGGUAGGAGCAGCACGGGCAUACUGAGAUGAUUAUCCACUAUUAAACCAUACUGUGCUUUAGACAGACAUCAGCUCAUUGGGUUACAGCGUGCUAUUUUUCCAUGAAGAGAACAGAAACAGGAAUAAUAACCCGUAUUUUGAAGAGGCAGUACAUAUUGGUCCUUAGUGCACAGUUGAGGCAAAUAUCUCUCAUGCUUUUAGCAAGAAGCAAGUCUACUUGAGUCUCCUGCAGGUGGACUACUUUUCUGGGAUCAUGGGCCUGCUGAUCAUCAGGAUUCCUACUAAUUCUCAGAGCUAUUCAACCUUGUUUAGAAUGUGAGAUUUGGGAAGCUACCUUCUGUAGAUCAGCCCGCACACACACAUUAUAUGAAACUUCCCAGCAGUGCUCUGUCAUCUGGUGCGGCUUCUAGCACUUAAGCUCUUCCUUGUCGGGGUCUGUCUGCAUGAGUCAUGAGCCAUAACUGGCCUUCUUCCAUCUCCUCCAUUUGGUAUCAAUUUGUGCCUGGAAAAGUGCGUUUCCAGCUCCCAGCUGUGCAGGUCUGCCUGCCAGGGCAAUGCUGAUUGGAUUUGCAGCUGGACUCCGCUUCCUUUGCUCUGCUUGCAUUAGGCUCUUGUUCUAGGGUAGAAAAGGGGGAAAAGGGAAGGAAUGGGAGAUACAAAGACCCAUAAAGGAUGAGUGACUCCUAGUGGGAGGGCUCCUCCAUAUCUUUAAAGCUAUUGUGUCCCUCUUGUGCAUAUAUCAUGAUGUCAUCUUCCUGCUCUUGUAUUCAUCAAUUAUGAGCAGAGAACAAAUGACUAUUGGUAAUAUUUCUUUACACCAACAAUUCAUUGCUCAUCAAGACAUUAGGGUUCAGAAGAACAUUGCAUGGCUGCAGAAAUAGUUUCAAUAUAGCUUUAAAAGAAAUCAAAACAUUAGACCAUUCUGGAUCUUGGAAUACAAUAGCAAUUUCACGAAGUUAUUGGAUUUUCUUUGGCUAAGCACUGAGAAGUUGGUUUCCAGUAGAGGUGGAUAAAGUGUGAACUUAUAAAUCAGCUACUAUAACAAAUAUUUUUAUACAGUCAGGUGAUGUACUAGUGAGUUAGGUCAUAACUUUCUCUGUGUAUAUAGAAUCAUAGUGGAAAUGCAAGGAAAUCUUAGUGAGAAGAUGGCAAAUGGAAGACUAACAUCAGAAAGGAAUUUGGAGGCUGAUACCACUUGUUACAUUGAGUCAGCCAUCACUGUUACAUUUAAGUGUUCUGUUCAACAUAUUCCUUCCCUUUGGUAGACCUCUUUUACAUAGAAACGAUGCUGUUGAUUGGCUGUUAUGAAUUCAGGCAACCAUAAUUUGACCGUUCUGGGCCAACAGGCUCUCAUUGAUCCUUUAGCCUCAGGCAAAGAAUAUUUCACAUUCCGAACCUCUUUAUGGCAUCUAUGCAGUGACUUGACUCGAAGAAGAGCUGGGGAAGCCAGGAGACAAUUUGAAGAGACUUGAAGGUUGGGUUGCUGACCUGAAGGUUGCUGGUUUGAAUCCAACCCGGAGAGAUCAUGUCUGAGCUCCCUCUGUCAGCUCCAGCUCCAUAAGGGGACAUGAGAGAAGCCUCCCAGCUCCAUAAGGGGACAUGAGAGAAGCCUCCCACAAGGAUGGUCAACCCAGUUCCCUUGCCCUCUGAAAUGCAGCCAACUAAUGGAGAUGAUAUCCUGGCAGGAACAGCUGGUGGAUGGCAUAGUCGUAGUUGCCUGAAGCAGUUUCCUUUCUUUAUGGGACAAGAUAACCAUCUUCUAGCUUGGGAGGAGCAAUGUAGGCCCGGAGUCAAGCUCAGGUUUCUCUUCUAUUUAUUUACUUACUUACUUACUUACUUACUUACUUACAAUAUUUAUAUUCUGCCCUUCUCACCCCGAAGGGGACUCAGGACGGAUUACAGUGCACAUAUACAUGGCAAACAUUCAAUUCCAUUAGAUAUACGACAUAUAGA
Molecule: long non-coding RNA, 2127 nt
Organism: Anolis carolinensis (green anole)
Lineage: Eukaryota; Metazoa; Chordata; Lepidosauria; Squamata; Anolidae
Exons: 5
Source: RefSeq, a predicted model, not a curated record